UAAUACGGAGGAUGCAAGCGUUAUCCGGAUUCAUUGGGUUUAAAGGGUGCGUAGGCGGAAUGAUAAGUUAGUGGUGAAAGCCCCCGGCUUAACCGGGGAACUGCCAUUAAUACUGUCAUUCUUGAGUAUAGUUGAAGUGGGCGGAAUGUAUCAUGUAGCGGUGAAAUGCUUAGAUAUGAUACAGAACACCGAUAGCGUAGGCAGCUUGCUAAACUAUAACUGACGCUCAGGCACGAAAGCGUGGGGAGCAAACAGGAUUAGAUACCCUGGUAGUCCACGCCGUAAACGAUGAUCACUCGCUGUUGGCGAUACACAGUCAGCGGCUUAGGGAAACCAUUAAGUGAUCCACCUGGGGAGUACGGUCGCAAGAUUG
This 373-nucleotide ribosomal RNA is filed under the name uncultured Sphingobacteriia bacterium. RNAcentral describes it as "bacterial SSU rRNA". It matches the Rfam family "Bacterial small subunit ribosomal RNA", at positions 521 to 896 of the family's 1533-position model. Lineage: Bacteria; Pseudomonadati; Bacteroidota; Sphingobacteriia. The record is from RNAcentral.